RNAcentral lists this ribosomal RNA (699 nucleotides) under uncultured Pseudomonadota bacterium. RNAcentral's name for it is "uncultured proteobacterium partial 16S ribosomal RNA". It matches the Rfam family "Bacterial small subunit ribosomal RNA", at positions 620 to 1310 of the family's 1533-position model. Lineage: Bacteria; Pseudomonadati; Pseudomonadota. The record is from RNAcentral.
ACUGCCNUUGAUACUAUCUAUCUUGAAUAUUGUGGAGGUAAGCNGAAUAUGUCNUGUANCCGUGAANUGGUUGGNUAUGACNUAGAACNCCCAUUGCGAAGGCAGCUUACUACGCNUAUAUUGACCGCUGAGGCACGAAAGCGUGGGGAUCAAACCGGAUUAGAUACCCCUGGUAGUCCNCGCCCCUAAACGAUGGAUACUCGACAUACGCGAUACACUGUGUGUGUCUGAGCGAAAGCAUUAAGUAUCCCCACCUGGGAAGUACGUUCGCAAGAAUGAAACUNNNAGGAAUUGGCGGGGGUCCGCACAAGCNGUGGAGUAUGUGGUUUAAUUCGAUGAUACGCGAGGAACCUUACCUGGGCUAGAAUGCUGGGAGACCGCUAGUGAAAGCUAGUUUUGUAGCCAAUACACUGNCCAGUAAGGUGNCUGNCAUGGGCCGUCGUCAGCUCGUGCCGUGAGGUGUUGGGUUAAGUCCCCGCAACGAGCGCAACCCCCUAUCUUUAGUUGCCAACAGGUAAUGGCUGGGAACUCCUAAAGAAACUGCCNCCGUAAGGUGUGAGGAAGGAGGGGAUGAUGUCAGGUCAUCAUGGGCCUUUAUGCCCAGGGCUACACACGUACUACCAUGGGGAAGACAANGGCUGCAACCUAGCGAUAUGAAGCCAAUNCCAAAACUUCCUCNCNGUUNAAUUGCAGCUGCAC